UUAAGUUCAGCGGGUAGUCCUACCUGAUUUGAGAUCAAACGUUCAAAAACUGUCCUCGCUGAGGAGAGACGUUUAUGAGCUCCAGCGAACCUCCAUUGCUGAAGGUUACCUGGUGGGGAACCACAAGCGUAGAUAGUUAUCACACCUGCGAUGCCACCAAACACUGGCAAGCUGAUUCAUUUGGGAGGAGCCGACCGUUG
RNAcentral lists this unclassified non-coding RNA (200 nucleotides) under Thelephoraceae sp. RNAcentral describes it as "partial internal transcribed spacer 2". Lineage: Eukaryota; Fungi; Basidiomycota; Agaricomycetes; Thelephorales; Thelephoraceae. The record is from RNAcentral.